ACGGCAGAGCCGGAGCGACUAAGGACCAAGUUGGAGCUGGCGGGAGGAAGGAGCCCAAUGGAGCCGGUGGGAUGGAGCGACGAGGUGCAGCCGGAGGAGCUGCAACUCUUCCUACAUAAAGUAGUGACGUAGACAUGUGGGGGUGUGUUUAAACAAGGCAUUUUAGGAGGGCGUGGACAAGUCUUAACUUUUAUAAAGAAUAUCUCUUUGGAUUUGAGACUUUAGUCUUUGCAACUUUACAGAUCGUCUUUAUGCACCAAGAGCUUGUAACAUUCCAAAGAGAAAGGAAAAAUUGAAAUCGCAUCAUAUGACCCCUUUAACUUAUUGGGAGACAACCGGUAUGUUCUAUAUGAAAUCAUACAUUUGAGCACCCCCAUGUAGCCAAAAUGGCAUGAUCAUAACACCCCUUGAAUAUACGACUGUGAGAUUGGUAGUCAAAUCGGGCUCCUCCUAUCAAAGCAUCGAAUCGACGACUUUUCAGGGUCACCCCUAAUUUAUAUAUAUAUAUAUAUAUAUAUAUAUAUAUAUAUAUAUAUAUAUAUAUAUAUAUAUAUAUAUAUAAAAAUACACAUAGCCAAAAUUUAUAUACAAUAAUGGCAUCAACAUCAUUCUUAAUGCAUGACAGGAGUGAAAGGAAUGUCUUUUUUACAUCGAAAUGUCUUUACACCAUUAAAUAAUACAUUUUCAAGGUGUCCUUUGGCCCGAAACAACAUUUCUCUUGUGUGCUUCUGUCACAGUUCAUCAGCCACCCUGCAAUCUCUCCAUCCUCAAAAACAAAAAUAUGGCAAUGUCAAUCACAUACAAACUCGUCUUCCAUCACUAAAGUACUUGACAGGUCCAGCUUUAAAUGCAGCCAUUACUCACAGUGACAGCAAAGUGACUUGACAUUGGAAAGGUUAUUUAAAGAUAUUGUACUUUAAUGAAAGUGGAACGCUUAUUCCUCUAUGUAUUUUGGAUCUCUAGAAGACCUGAGUCAGUUUGUGCCAACAUAUUCUUUAUUUCGAAAGAAAUGUUGGCACACUAGUGCAUUUUAUAACUUUUCACCCUGCUAAGUACAGUCAUGGUCAACGGAGUCAAUAGGUCUGUUGAUUUGAGGCAGGUGUCAUGUUAUGCUUCAGCUCACUUUGAUGUAUCAGGUCACGGAUGCACAUGAAUCUUUGGACAAGCAACACCCAAAAAUAACACCAGGAGCGUGAGGCAGUUGGUGGAGCCAUGUUUCAGUGUGGCAGAAAGCCCGGGCACAGUCUGUGCCCCAACUAUGAGCAUGCCGUACUUGUGCCAAAAAGACAUGAAAGACCACCAGGAUUAUUAGAACAUAGGAUAAAUCCCCCCGUCCACAAUAAACUCCUUUCAACCAAAGCAAUAACUGCAUUCCACUCAAAUACGCUGGUACUAUGAACAUUCACACAGCAUAGUCUGAUCAAUUUAGCUUUUUCUCAUAUGUUCGGUUAGGGGUAUGUUCAAAUCCCUAAACCUAAGUAUUAACCUUCAGUGCAAAACACUCUAGCAAAUGCAUAGCAAUGAGCUAAAACAAACAUCUGAGCAACCACAUGGCAACCAACAUCAAUACCAUAGCAUCAAGCUGGGAAGCAGCGAUCACAUUUUUCUGUAUAAAAUGUAAAAAUACGUAAUAC
Long non-coding RNA from Cyprinus carpio carpio, 1634 nucleotides. The record is from Ensembl. Lineage: Eukaryota; Metazoa; Chordata; Actinopteri; Cypriniformes; Cyprinidae.